UACGAGGGGGGCUAGUGUUGUUCGGAAUCACUGGGCGUAAAGGGCGCGUAGGCGGGUGCCUAAGUUGGGUGUUUAAUUCCGGGGCCCAACCCCGGGCGUGCAUUCAAAACUGGGUUUCUUGAAUAGGGGAGAGGUCGGUGGAAUUGGAGGUGUAGCGGUGGAAUGCGUAGAGAUCUCCAAGAACACCCGUUGCGAAGGCGGCCGACUGGACCCAUAUUGACGCUGAGGCUCGAAAGCAUGGGGAGCAAACAGG
Molecule: ribosomal RNA, 253 nt
Filed under: uncultured bacterium
Lineage: Bacteria
Description: partial 16S ribosomal RNA
Rfam family: Bacterial small subunit ribosomal RNA
Source: RNAcentral